AUGGAGCUUUAGACACACAGGUGGCCCAUGUCAAACACCCCCUGCCAAGGACCUGAACUAAAUGGAACCUGCCUUGAUGUCUUCGGUUGGGGCGACCAUGGGGAAUACAAAACCCCCACGUGGAAAGGGAGCACACCCCUAAGUUACUUCUUCUCCCGCAAGCCAGAGCAACAGCUCUAACCAGCAGAAAUUCUGACCAAACUGAUCCGGUAAAACCGAUCAACGAACCA
Molecule: ribosomal RNA, 230 nt
Filed under: Microstomus pacificus (Dover sole)
Lineage: Eukaryota; Metazoa; Chordata; Actinopteri; Pleuronectiformes; Pleuronectidae
Description: partial 16S ribosomal RNA
Source: RNAcentral